AAAUACGUGUGCCCUCGAGCUAAGACACGCCGCACACGCGCCUUUCGUCCUCUCGCUCUCCUCAUUUUUUUCGUUUACUGCCCCCCGGCAGUCGUCCCACCCCACCCCCUCCCUUCCGUGCCCUGUUUCACGGCAAGCACCACCACAAACCUCGAGAGAACGGAGCGAAAAAAAAAGGUCUCGAAAUAAUCGCGUUGCUGUUCCGGAUUUGCUCUCCAGCACUUACAACGUUCUCUGACAUAUACCCCUCCGUUUGCUCCUGCGUUUUCCCACGAGCGUGCGCUAAGGAGUCCACCUUCACAUCAGCGGGUACUUCUCGUGCGCGAGAACAUGGACAAGGGUGCCGUGACCACUUGUAGAAUGAGCGUCGUGCGCAACUGCGUGGUCUGGGUGUGUGUUUUCGCCCUCCUUCUGCACGCGGGCACUGUAGGCGCUCAAGUUACCGCGCCGUGGUACAGAAUCAACUACAACACGCCAGCGUACGUUCUGUACAAGCCGCAGGACGUAGCGCAGUACGCUACGUCUCGAGCCGCCGCUAACGGGUACUGCGUGCAGAAUGGCAUGAGUAUCUUUUCUGCCGAGCUGCCCGCUAAGGAUAAUAAUUUCGCAUCGGAUGCGGCGAAGGAGCUCGGGAGUACGGGCUACUUCACCUACACAGGCUCCAGCGCAGAGCCGGUUCCCAGUUUUGCCCGCUUUUGCACGCAACUGCAGCCCAAUCCAAGCUCUACUCCCAACUCGAUAAAGUGCGGGUUCACCUUUAGAUUCGGUCUGCUGACUGUAAUCGAUACUGUGCUGCUAGGGAAUCAACCUGGUGUUGCCCAGUACUAUUCACUGUACCCGAAUAUGUGGGGCGCAGGGAAUGCGAACACCGGCUACGCAGUUGAGUGGGACACAACGAGGCCGAAUCCCCGUGGCUACUAUUUCAUGGCCGUGACGGGGUUGACGGACACGGUUGGCCGACACGUUAACGUGGAUGCGACGGUGUCGGCGAGCGAUAGCUACGUCACGGCAUCCAAGUUCGCAAUCUACUGCGAGUCGCAGAGCUUCCUGGGCUACGUUCCUGUUCCUACUGUAUUAGUGCAGCCCACCUUCGUCAAGGGUUACAAGGAACUGACAUGGGCCCAAGAGCACUGGUGGGUCAUUUUCCUCAUCAUUGCCAUUCUCAUUCUGAUCGUGCUGCUCACCAUCCUCAUCUACUGCUGCCUCACCAGGACACCGCCGAAGGAGCAGCCCCCAAUCGCGCCGAUGGUGCUGCGUGAGCACAACGGAUCCGCGUACGUGAACGUGUUGGAUGAUGGAUCCUCGAAGCCGCACAACGCAGCUGACGUGCCCAAUCAGCGUAGUUCAAUGCCAGAAAACUGGCAGCAGAGGUCUGGUAUCUUGAUGGGCCCCAAGCCGGCGGUAGAUCCCGAGGACCUCAUUCAGGCAAAGCCGUCCAUUUUCGCCCGCGAAGAAACGCUGCAAACCGCCGAUGGGGACAGCCUGGCCUUGGAGAACGAAGACGAAGAGCUCAGGGAGAAGGAGACGAGCUAAUAGGCGGAGCGAGGCAAUGAAAGGAGGACAUCGUGAUCAUACCCAGGCGGUGAUACACAACUGGGGCGGAUACGCUGACAUCACGCACGCGCGCCACACGUGGAGAGACACGAAAGAUGCAUACCAGCCCCAUCGCAGAUAUCGGCACCAACUCAUCCAUUCACGCAUAAGCAGGCAGGGAGGGGGACCGUGUCUCUCUCUCUCUCUCCUCUCUCGAAUUCUCCGGCAGUUUGCGCUUGUGCCGUAUGCACUAAUUAUAUGUGUGAUGCCUUUUCAUCUUUUUGAGAGUCCCCGUCCCAUUUUCAGCGCCUCUCUACCUCUACGUGUAGAAAGGCUUCGCUCCUUGAAGACGCGCAUGUGUCUGUGCUGCGUUGCCUAUCCACCCCCCCCCCACUCUCUCCCUUGUUGCUGCAUUCUUUUGUUCCAGGCGCCGCUCUGGUUGACGUCUGUGUCUCUCUGCGUGUGGGUGGGUGUCUUUAUUGUAUUCUUUCUUUGCGUUCUUGUAUUUUCCGAUUCUGCAUCGUGCUUGUUUGAUCCUCCGCAUAGCUCUCGUCUCUUUGGCGCCCUCCCCCUCCCCUUCUUUUUUUAGGUUGCAUGGGCGUUUCUUCUCCAUCCUUCCCAGAAGUCCCUGUUCUUUCGCAUCAUGGAGUUUCCUCUCUCCCGCAUACGCCGUCUUUCCCAGAUGUGGCUUUACAGAACAUUUUUGUGGCGCUGCUGUUGUUUUGUUUGUCUCGCCCUCUUCACCAUCACCAGCACCACUCCACCUCACCCCUCACCCUUUUUCUGCUCCCUUCCUCUCUUGUGCUGUCUUUGCUAAUGGUCGACGGGGGUUUGUGCUUGGUAUGUGCACACGGUUGUGGUUCUGCUGUGUCGUCUAUGCAGGCUGCGCGUUCCUUUUUCUUUUUUGUGUUACUGUCAUUCAUUGGCGCUCCCCCCCCCCAUUUUUCUCUUUUUUGAUUAUACGGCGAGUAUUUUGUCGUGAGUCUCUAAUCUUCUUUCCACCCCCACCCACGCCCAUUUAUUCAUGUCCACCGUGAGUGCGGAAAGGAUCACCUUCAACAUGAGCAGGACAGCUAAAGGCAUUAAAAGCAAUGCUCAAGGACAGGAGAAGCACCCGAAGGCUUUUCGCUGAACUGACUCUCGCUGGCCUUCUCUGUUCUCUCCUGUCGCUUUCCUGAAGUUCAUUCUCGCGUGACGUGCACCGCCGUCCAUCGCAUUACAUGUGCGCAUGAAGGUGUGAACCUCAGCACAGAGGAAGGAAGGGGGGUGACACUGAAGUGGGAGCCCAUCGCACGUUUUACUUGGCCCCCGCCCCCCGCCCGGCUAACGCUCCGUUGGCGUCCUUCGCAGUGGACGAUUACGUUUACCUCAUAGUACUUCUUUCUUUUAUCUGCUGUUUGCUAGUGGCGAUGAUGCAUUUGGCCGAUGUUUUGCUUAUUUUUUUUUGCACUUCUUGUAUGACGGCUACGUUUGUAUGCGUGAUUGUGUGUUGUUUUGAGGCGUGGGUUACGUGACAGGGGGUCUCAUCCUCUCGCACCGCCCUUGCAAGCCCGGUGUCGCAGUGGCUACAUGCGUCGGGUGAGUUGCACGCGCGUCUCUCGCUUUUUCCAGGUAUUUUGUAUGCUUGCCCCUCAACCUGCUGCACACAUUCGCGACAUCGAGGAUGUCCUGUGUGCUCCAGCGCUGCGGUCCAGUCGGAUUCGCAUCAUGCGGGGGAAGAGCAAACGGUUUGCGCCGGAGCGCUGCGGAGAAGAGAAUAUGGAGACAGCGAAGGCUUCUGUUGUCGAUACAGCAACGAGAAGCCCGAUGCCGCCUCUCGAUUCCAUGCGCUUCCAUAUGUGUCUUCUUGUGCGACGAGCACACACUUUUGGUGCGGCGAAGCACCUCUUCUCCUCCGCUGCAGCACGGCGUGUGUGGUGUGUAUGUCGGAUGGCGAUGGCGGACAGAUGCACGCCGUGCUGUGGUACUGCCUCAGGCAAGGCACCCCCGCCUCCCUCCAACGCCGCACAUGUUUUCCAAUCAACUUUGAGGUGCACUGUGAGGGGCGGUGGUGCUCCUUCGUGUGUUCCCACCUCUCCUGUUUACCAGUCUCCAUGCGUUUCUUUUACAUGGUCUUCUUUUUUUUUUGCGAGGGAGAGGUGACUAGCGCAUUUUUCUUCUUCCUGCCGCCGCGUACGCCGCCCUCCCCCCUCCCUCGCUGACACACGCACCCCUCAGUUUCUUCACGCGCAAUCGCUUCAAGGGCAUGCUGUACUUGUUUAUCUUCUUGUGGCAUGAUGGGCAAAGAAGGAAUAGCGAUUAUGACACUCUCUCGGGGACCGAAGGAAGGGAAGCGUAUACUGUCGCGUUAACAUGCGUGGGAAUUGCAUGCCCUUCUUGGCAUGCUUGUGGUUACGGCGUGACGCUUAAAAGCAAGCACAUACUACGUUCCUGGCACCUAGCCAAGCACGGGGUCGGAAAAGAGCAUGGCGUAGUGUGUCAAGGAGGCCAGUUGGAGUCGCUCCUCGUUUUCAGGAGCGCCAAAAGAAAGAGAAGAAACUCGGAGGCGAAGCAGCAGCAGCAACAACAAAAAGAGUACAACGGAAAAGAAACCAGCCCCUGUGCUUGGUGUAACGCACAGAGGAGCGUGACCUCGAGAUGUCACGCAGGGGAAUUCCUUCGUAUGUUCUUUGCUCUCUCUAUGUUUUGUGUCUUGACUUUUUUUUUCAGAUGGGCUCGAAGUAGACGACCACCUUUCCCCUUCCUCCUCCUGCUCCUGCUCCUCUCUCUCUGUCUGUCUGUCACGUGCGUUGGGUUCGUUCUUGCCUUUCACUCUGGCUGUUUCCUUCGAGGCUUAUUUUUGUUUCGUCUGCUUUCAUUCGUUCUCGCUUUUGUUAGCGGUUUCUCUUUUUUUAGCUGCUGUCACCUUUUGUGCUGCUGAAGAGGCGAUUUCGUCCGCGCUGCAUGCUUCGUUCCUGACCCUCUUCUUCUACUCCCUGUGCUGUCGGUACUCUUCUUCGUCUCACCCGUGCGCCCGAAGUGGCGUGUGACCGUGUGCGUGCGUCUGUGUGAUCACCGAUUAGAUGGCGGUUCCUUAAUCGCCAAGAACACACGGCUUUCUUUGCCUAAUAUUGCUUGCUGCGUGCACACGCUCGUGUGUAUGUGUGUGUGUGUUACCUUGCCUUAAUCCCACUUCAGCCUUCUUCUGCAGCCAUCCUCAGCCACUGUUCUCAACAGAAGAGUGGCAACGAAAAAUCCUCUUCACGUGUUGCCUAAUGAAGAGCGGGAGCACAGAACAAAUACGAAGAAAAAAUUGAAAAAAAAAAUGACUUUGCGAGGAAGGUAUAGAAAGGAGCACUGAACCUCACGCUCUUUCCAGUGUGGCGUGCAAGUGUGGCCUACGCUUUUCUUGGGGAUUUGCAGCAGAAAAAAGAAAGGAAAACAAGAGAAACGAUAACCAAGCGAUGCUGUUGGUGUUCUGCUCUCUUUUUGUUGCAUUGUUGUUGUCCAUUCAUGCGUGCACGCGUAUUCGCUUCGUUUUGUUUCCGGUGUGCUGUACCCAAUGUGAAUAAACUGUAAAAGCAUAAAGACAAAAGAAAACACAUAGCGUGGAACGGGCAGAGCAAUGGCCCUCCCUCUCCUUUCCAUCCACCGUUUAUCCCUUGCGCGCUGCUGGACCGAUCGUUUCUGUAGGAAAGAGGGACGAUUAUGAGGCAAGAGUAGCGCCCCACAGGGGUGCACGCAAACAUGUCCUGAGCAUGAGGAAGCAAGAGUCUGAGCACCUCCUCAUCAAACGACAUCAGCCAUGACAGCGGCAACAGGGUGUACCGAAAACUUGCCACGGGUAGCGCUGAUAUCAAGUUGUCGUCUCAUGCAUGUGUGCCUGCAUCCUUCUGUUUCCGCGUCUGCGUUCUUUCCUCCCCUUUUAUCACUCCUUUGUACUCUUCAUGCCCUCUUGUUUUUGUUGUUAUGUCUGUGUGUGUGUGCGGUAGUUUUGUCCGUCUCUGUGUGUGCGUCUUUUCACCAACACCCGCACCCUUUCUUUUGCUUAUUGUCUGUAUCCUUUCUUUUUUAUCGUCUUCGCUUCACGUUGUCCUUUGUGUUGUCGCGCUGCCACGCCUUUGUUUUCCUGUUGGCGCUCUUUUUUUUUGCUUUUAUUUGAAACCAUUCUGGCCAUCAUCGGCCAGAGUACUAAAACGAAACAGCUUCCUCGGUCUCGAAACCCGAGUACUUGCGGAGCAGCACAUGCGCACAAGCAGAGUUGAAUUCAUAUCCGCGAAAUGGGCCUUCGCUGUGUGGAAAAGUGGACGCACCGCCACUAGAACGCCGCCCGCGUGGUGGUGGGAAGAGCUUGUGAGUGUGGCGUCGCGGUGUAUACAUGCCGCCGCUGUCAAUGGUGGCCUGUCCUCUCCACAGUGCACUGUCUGGGCUUACGGUGUGAGCCACAGUAGGUAGAGACGCCCGCGGAAGGGAGAACGGGGUGGGGCUGCAAAUAGAAUACGGUGCUCAAUGGUUUCUGGGAGUGUAC
This 6040-nucleotide unclassified non-coding RNA is filed under the name Leishmania donovani. Its description in RNAcentral is "gene:LdHU3.35.3650(CDS-product:hypothetical_prote in_conserved)". The record is from RNAcentral. Lineage: Eukaryota; Euglenozoa; Kinetoplastea; Trypanosomatida; Trypanosomatidae.